This 700-nucleotide ribosomal RNA is filed under the name uncultured bacterium. Its description in RNAcentral is "bacterial SSU rRNA". It matches the Rfam family "Bacterial small subunit ribosomal RNA", at positions 8 to 703 of the family's 1533-position model. The record is from RNAcentral.
AGAGUUUGAUCAUGGCUCAGAUUGAACGCUGGCGGAAUGCUUUACACAUGCAAGUCGAACGAUGAACCUUAGCUUGCUAGGGGGAUUAGUGGCGAACGGGUGAGUAAUAUAUCGGAACGUGCCUUGUAAUGGGGGGUAACUAGUCGAAAGAUUAGCUAAUACCGCAUACGCCCUGAGGGGGAAAGUAGGGGAUCUUCGGACCUUACGUUAUAAGAGCGGCCGAUAUCUGAUUAGCUAGUUGGUGGGGUAAUGGCCUACCAAGGCUUCGAUCAGUAGCUGGUCUGAGAGGACGACCAGCCACACUGGAACUGAGACACGGUCCAGACUCCUACGGGAGGCAGCAGUGGGGAAUUUUGGACAAUGGGCGCAAGCCUGAUCCAGCCAUUCCGCGUGAGUGAAGAAGGCCUUCGGGUUGUAAAGCUCUUUCGCAAGGGAAGAAAACUUACUUUCUAAUAAAGAGUGAGGCUGACGGUACCUUGAUAAGAAGCACCGGCUAACUACGUGCCAGCAGCCGCGGUAAUACGUAGGGUGCGAGCGUUAAUCGGAAUUACUGGGCGUAAAGCGUGCGCAGGCGGUUUGGCAAGUCAGAUGUGAAAUCCCCGAGCUCAACUUGGGAACUGCGUUUGAAACUGCCAGACUAGAAUAUGUCAGAGGGGGGUAGAAUUCCACGUGUAGCAGUGAAAUGCGUAGAGAUGUGGAG